GGGUUGUCUUGGUUUUGAAUAAAUAACUUUGGUCGUUACGUGGAAAUCGGCUAAGGUGGCACCCCCUUCUCCACACAAAGUACUCGGGACCUCGCAUACCGUUGACCGGCAGUCCACGACUUGACGAGCCCCUACCAUCAUCCCGGAUCACAACCCGAACCGUCCGAGAAGGAGCACUGCCGCCACCACCACUACUGCCGAUGCAUUUGCCGCCGUGGCAGCCACUCGAAGAGAGCGUUGUUGUGUGGUAUUUCAAGUUCCCCAUCAUGAUAA
Molecule: non-coding RNA, 273 nt
Organism: Arachis ipaensis
Lineage: Eukaryota; Viridiplantae; Streptophyta; Magnoliopsida; Fabales; Fabaceae
Source: RefSeq, a predicted model, not a curated record